Non-coding RNA from Planctomycetes bacterium RBG_16_64_12, 73 nucleotides. NCBI's taxonomy places the organism in Bacteria, Pseudomonadati, Planctomycetota. The record is from Rfam.
GGGGACGUAGCUCAAUUGGGAGAGCACCGGCUUUGCAAGUCGGGGGUUGGCGGUUCGAUCCCGCUCGUCUCCA